RNAcentral lists this ribosomal RNA (253 nucleotides) under uncultured bacterium. RNAcentral's name for it is "partial 16S ribosomal RNA". It matches the Rfam family "Bacterial small subunit ribosomal RNA", at positions 524 to 776 of the family's 1533-position model. The record is from RNAcentral.
UACGUAGGGGGCAAGCGUUGUCCGGAAUCAUUGGGCGUAAAGGUUGUGUAGGUGGUUGUAUUAGUCUUCUGUUAAAUUCUUCGGCUUAACCGGGGGCAUGCAGGGGAAACGGUACAACUAGAGGAUGCGAGGGGUCUGUGGAACUCAUAGUGUAGCGGUAAAAUGCGUUGAUAUUAUGGGGAACACCAAAAGCGAAGGCAGCAGACUGGAGCACUCCUGACACUGAAACAAGAAAGCGUGGGUCGCGAAUGGG